This is a small nuclear RNA of Echinops telfairi (small Madagascar hedgehog), 107 nucleotides long. Lineage: Eukaryota; Metazoa; Chordata; Mammalia; Afrosoricida; Tenrecidae. The record is from RefSeq and is a predicted model, not a curated record.
GUGCUUGCUUUGGCAGCACAUAGACUAACACUGGAACAAUACAUAGAAGAUUUGCAUGGCCCCUGUGCAAGGAUGACACGCAAAUUCAUGAAACGUUCCAUAUUUUU